Long non-coding RNA from Apis cerana (Asiatic honeybee), 523 nucleotides. RefSeq lists it as uncharacterized. NCBI's taxonomy places the organism in Eukaryota, Metazoa, Arthropoda, Insecta, Hymenoptera, Apidae. The record is from RefSeq and is a predicted model, not a curated record.
CGGAAGGGAUAACAUCGUGCAACGUUAAUAUCGUGGUGGAUAUAAGAAGAAAUAUAUUCCUUCCAAUCAGAGAGCAGCUACGGCCCAACUUUCGACGAAUCAGUACGUUCGGCGUCAGUCUUCUGGUGGACCUCGUGGGGAUAGGACGGAUGGAGCUAUAACUGGUUAAAAAUUGAUUGCUGAGAUAACUAAGAUGUGAUUUCAAUAUUGAUGCCACAAUCAGAUGGUGAUUUUUUUAUGACAGAGCGUUUGUUUCAGAUUUAUUAACUUCCAGGACAAAUUUAUAUUAUAACAUUUGAAGUAGUUAUAUAAAUAUAUUAUGUUAGUGACUCUUGAGUAGAAUGAUAUGAAUGAAAAAGAAUGAAGAGGGAAAGAGUAUGUAUUUACAAUUACAAAGAAAUUCCAUUGUGAAGUUUCAGCAAAGAAGUGGUGUUCUGCUAUAUAUGUAUGGUAUUCUGCUAUAUAUAAUGUCCUUUUCCCUUUCCUUGUUCUUUAUUUGAAUUAAAUUUUUAUUUAAGCAGAA